This 918-nucleotide ribosomal RNA is filed under the name uncultured bacterium. RNAcentral describes it as "bacterial SSU rRNA". It matches the Rfam family "Bacterial small subunit ribosomal RNA", at positions 8 to 916 of the family's 1533-position model. The record is from RNAcentral.
AGAGUUUGAUCCUGGCUCAGAUUGAACGCUGGCGGCAUGCCUAACACAUGCAAGUCGAACGUGAAAGAGGGGCAACUCUCGAGUAAAGUGGCGGACGGGUGAGUAAUACGUAGGAAUCUGCCCUAGAGUGGGGGAUAACCUGCCGAAAGGUGGGCUAAUACCGCAUGAUCUCUAAGGAGCAAAGGUGCCCUGUACUUGUACAGGGCUUCGCUUUAGGAUGAGCCUACGUCGGAUUAGCUAGUUGGUAGGGUAAUGGCCUACCAAGGCAACAAUCCGUAGCUGGUCUGAGAGGACGAUCAGCCACACUGGAACUGAGACACGGUCCAGACUCCUACGGGAGGCAGCAGUGGGGAAUAUUGGACAAUGGGGGAAACCCUGAUCCAGCAAUGCCGCGUGUGCGAUGAAGGCCUGCGGGUUGUAAAGCACUUUCGGUGGGGAAGAAAUGCCCAAAGAUAAUACCUUUGGGAGCUGACGUUACCCACAGAAGAAGCACCGGCAAACUCUGUGCCAGCAGCCGCGGUAAUACAGAGGGUGCAAGCGUUAGUCGGAGUUACUGGGCGUAAAGGGCGUGUAGGCUGAUAUCUAAGUCGAUUGUGAAAUCCCUGGGCUUAACCUAGGAAUUGCGUUCGAUACUAGAUGUCUUGAGUAUGGUAGAGGAAAGUGGAAUUCUCGGUGUAGUGGUUAAAUACGUAGAUAUCGAGAAGAACACCGGUGGCGAAGGCGGCUUUCUGGACCAAUACUGACGCUGAGGCGCGAAAGCGUGGGGAGCAAACAGGAUUAGAUACCCUGGUAGUCCACGCUGUAAACGAUGAGAACUAGAUGUUGUUAAGCUUUUAGCUUAUCAGUAUCGCAGCUAACGCGUUAAGUUCUCCGCCUGGGGAGUACGGUCGCAAGAUUAAAACUCAAAGGAAUUGAUGG